This 241-nucleotide ribosomal RNA is filed under the name uncultured bacterium. RNAcentral describes it as "partial 16S ribosomal RNA". It matches the Rfam family "Bacterial small subunit ribosomal RNA", at positions 1226 to 1466 of the family's 1533-position model. The record is from RNAcentral.
UACAAUGGCGCGUACAGAGGGCUGCAAGCUAGCGAUAGUGAGCGAAUCCCAAAAAGCGCGUCGUAGUCCGGAUCGGAGUCUGCAACUCGACUCCGUGAAGUCGGAAUCGCUAGUAAUCGCAAAUCAGAAUGUUGCGGUGAAUACGUUCCCGGGCCUUGUACACACCGCCCGUCACACCAUGGGAGUGGGCUGCACCAGAAGUAGAUAGCUUAACCUUCGGGAGGGCGUUUACCACGGUGUG